UAGAGAGAGAGAGAGAGAGAGAGAGAGAGAGAGAGAGAGAGAGAGAGAGAGUGUAGCGGAACAGCCCCCAUUUGUACCUUGUGUUUGCAUGCCCGAACACAUGGGCUUAAAUCCCUAAAACUUGGCUGUUUGUUUUCUGAGUUGGUAUCUUUGUCUCCUUAUCGUUUUUGGGGAGAUAUAGAUUAAUGGUCUUUCAGCUUCCGCUGUAAUUCUGGGUUGUUGUCGCAAUGUCUUGUUCCUCUGAGAAAGAGGUGGAGCAGCAGCUCAAGGAGGCUGGAAAUACUCUCCUCAACCCUCCUUUUGCUACCGACGAGCUUCUCAAAAUCCUUGGCGAAGCUGAGGGUUUGUUGUCAAAUGUUGAGCAAGCACCACUCAGAUCCAUGCAAGAUGCACUUCUACCAAUAAUGAAGGCAUUGAUUUCUGAUGAGCUAUUUAGGCAUUCAGAUAUGGAUGUGAAGCUAUAUGUUGCUUCUUGCAUUACUGAGCUUAUGAGAAUAACAGCACCAGUUCCUCCAUACAACGAUGAAUGGAUGAAGGAAAUCUUUCAGCUGACUGUAGCAGGUUUUGAGAAGCUUUCAUAUGUUUCCAGUCCCUUUUAUAGAAAGGCAGUUUCCAUUCUUCACAUUGUUGCAAAGGUUAGGUCAAGCUUGCUGAUGCUGGACCUUGGUUGCAGUGCAUUAAUUAUUGAGAUGUUCCAACAUUUCCUUAAAAUAACCCAGUUCAAUCAUCCGCAUUCUGUAUUUUCAGCCAUGGAAACUAUUAUGACCAUGGUUUUAGAUGAGAGUGAAGAAAUUCCUGUGGAUCUUCUCAAAGCUCUUCUAUCUAGUGUUAGAAAGGAAAAUCAGACCGUUUCACCAUUUUCUUGGAAAUUGGGGGAGAAAGUUAUAGACAAUUCUUCAGCUAAGCUUAAACCUUAUCUCGUGGAAGCAGUGAAGUCCAUGGACGUCGCUUUGGACGAUUACACUCAAAUAGUGGCUUCUGUGUGCCAGAAUGGAUCUGAUGCUGUCAAACAUAAUCAAGUCAAUGAUUCUGCGAAGAAUCUGGAAAACUUCUUCAUUAUCCAGGUGACCGAGGGGCCUAAGCCCAGUGCUUAUUGUCCUAGAGAAGUUGAAAAGACUGUAGCUGCUUCUACUGGGGAUGAACACGUCAGACAUAAAAAUUCUACUGCAAGAUUACGGCAUUGCCAUCAUACUAAACCCUCCAAGGUUAUUGAUUCAAGAGAUAGUGCUAAACCAGACAACUCCUCUUCAAAAGCUGUCAAAUCAGCAACUGAGCCAUGCUUGGCUCUCAAGAAGAGAGUCCAGAAGUCAAACUUUUUGAAGGAUCCAAAGGAAGGGUAUGACAAUGCUCAACCCAACAAUUCACUCUCUCUGAACAUUCUUAAAUCAGAAAUUGAGCCAUCCCCAGCCGCCAAAAGGAGAGGCAGGAAGCCAAAUUCUUCAAUGAAUCCGGCACAAGGCUAUGACCAUUCUUGGAUAAGUUGUGGGAGAAAAACUCAGAAACCAUCUUCCAGCAGUAAGUCUGAUUACAGGGGGUCUAAUCCUUCACGUACAAAAGAUUGUCUUUGUGUAAAAGCAGAUGUGCCCUUGAUACUUCAAAGUGCUAGGGAGCGACCUGGUUCCCAACCUAAAACUGAAAGGGAUAUUGGGGCUUUUCGGUUUGUUCUGAACAAUCCUCUUGGUGGAUCCCAACACAGAAAGGGCUGGCCGAAGAAGAAAGUUGUAGCAGACCAUGCUGCUAAUCCUAGUUCCCUUUCAGCUGUGAAGCAAGAGCUUGCUCAAGUUGAGGAGAGAACUCCACAAGAAGAAAAGCCCAAGCUGAGAAAGAAAUAUAAGGGGACUGUUAACAUAGGAGAAAGACUACGGGAGCAGCUUAGAGAUAUUAGACUUGCUGAAAAAACAAAUGGGGGCUGCACUCUUUCUUCUGUAAAUGUGGUCACAGAUAAGGAAUCUGAGGUUCCCAUUGAUCCUGGUAAAAAAUCACAUCAAAGCUUGUCUUUGGACGUAGAAACGAAGAGUACCACUGAUCAAUCAUCCGUCCGUCAGGUUAUUUAUAAAUAUAAGGGGAAUGGUACUUCUAGAAAGGAGAGUACUGAAGCAUCUGGUAGCAAGAUUUCCAAGUCUGCCAAAAAAAUGAAUAAAGAUAAUGAAGGAACCCCUAAAGUGGUUCUCAAGAGGAAGCAUUUCAUUGAAAAGGAAGAGAGCAGAAACAGUGAGGUAGGGGCAGCCUCUGUGGGUUUCAAUUUUCAACUGGAGAUUUAAUAUCUUAAGGAGCUCACAUUGGAUUUGGGACCAUGGUGUACUUUUUGAACUUGGGCCUCUCAAAUGCCUGAUCUUGGUGAACGGUUGGUUGACAGAAGAAUAAAGGUUUGGUGGCCACAGGAUAAAAAGUGAGUAUUGCAGAAUUGAUGAUAAAAAUGACAUGAUAUAUUUGUAAUUAGUCAAUAUUUACUUGCAUCUUAUACCGUCAGUGGUUUUCAUGUUUCUAUGUUUGAUAGUUUUUAUUGAUCAGUAGUGCCUUUAGGACUUGGAAACAUUGCGUAUCCAAGAAUAUUUUGCUAUAAUUAUAAGGAUCCAUGACAUUUAGUGGAUUUGGGUAGACACUGAUGAAUUAUGCUUGUGCAUAUUAUAAUUGGGUAUGCUUAGCUCAAGAGGGAACUCGCCAUUUUGUUUUUAGUUUUAUAAAUACUCUAGUUAGGCUUUUGCAGAACCAUGUGAGGGCUCAGCUGUGAAAUUUUAUACAAGAUGAAUUUACAGUUAACAUAAGAUAAAAAUUGAUGUAAACUCUUUAGUAGGUGUGAAACCCAGUCCGGGAAACAGAGAAAGGCAAUUGGGUGGCAGUUUACAUUUUGGUGAAAUUGUGGGCAUGGCUUGAAAAUGCAGUAUAUGCAUCAGUGAUGGAUUAUGAGACAAUGCUUGGAUCAAGUUAUGUUGGAUUCUUCCAAAAUGAAAAAAGGGAUUGCAAAUUAUAUUUUAAUGGUAAUUUAGGACUGUCAACUGAAAUUAUUCUGAAUGGGUUUUUUUUCUUGAAUAAAGGAGAAGGUUGAUAUAGUGAUAUAUGUCAUACAACAGGACCUUUUGGGGUGUAAAAAAUGGUGAAUGUGAUUUUUUGGCACUGAAUUUUGGAUUUGUAUUGUUUGCCGGGGAAACCAUAUCUCUGCUCUUGACCCAACGCAAGAAGUCAGUAUUUUGGCCAUGACUUGCAGGAGGUCUUCAUGUGUUAUUUUGUUUCCAGUUCUGAUCUUCAAAAGGUAUAGGUGAAAUUUCUGGCUUCCCAAGCUGCUAGAAGAUUCAAAACACCCCUGGGUUAAUGCUUUAUUCUUCAUGCCAUUUGUCUAUUCCCUUUUUAUAUGGCCCCACUAAAGUCUGUGACGGUGGAGUUUUAAGCCCCAAAUGAUUAUUUUCUUGCCUGAAAAUUCUGUCUCUGCAGGUUUUAUGAAGGUGUUGUUUCUUCUUACGACCCUGCCAAAAAGAAGCACUUGGUGUUGUAUACUGAUGGGGAUGAAGAAAAUCUGAACCUCAAAAAGCAGUGCUGGAAACUGAUUGGAGAUGGUUUGCCAGAUGUCAAAAUGGAGAAUCU
This is an RNA transcript of Pyrus x bretschneideri (Chinese white pear), 3579 nucleotides long. It is a transcript of the gene named sister chromatid cohesion protein PDS5 homolog C-like, with no coding region annotated. NCBI's taxonomy places the organism in Eukaryota, Viridiplantae, Streptophyta, Magnoliopsida, Rosales, Rosaceae. The record is from RefSeq and is a predicted model, not a curated record. The transcript is spliced from 11 exons.